RNAcentral lists this long non-coding RNA (205 nucleotides) under Capsella rubella. RNAcentral describes it as "long non-coding RNA (CRUB_LNC002663)". The record is from RNAcentral. Lineage: Eukaryota; Viridiplantae; Streptophyta; Magnoliopsida; Brassicales; Brassicaceae.
ACUAAUGUAAAAUUCAAAAAUAUGAGGCAAACUUCUCAAACUAAAGUCAGUCGAUUUUAUAAAUAUUAAAUAGGCACACGAUUAUUAUUAUUUUUUGUGGGAUACACACAUUAUUAUUUAAUAAUAAUAAUAUAAUGAAUAAAUCUGCAAUAUAUAUAUAAUAAUUAAUAUAAGAAACAAUUUGAAACUUUCCACAAAAAAAAAA